RNAcentral lists this small nuclear RNA (112 nucleotides) under Tinamus guttatus (white-throated tinamou). Its description in RNAcentral is "U2 spliceosomal RNA". It matches the Rfam family "U2 spliceosomal RNA". Rfam says of the family: U2 is a small nuclear RNA (snRNA) component of the spliceosome (involved in pre-mRNA splicing). Complementary binding between U2 snRNA (in an area lying towards the 5' end but 3' to hairpin I) and the branchpoint sequence (BPS) of the intron results the bulging out of an unpaired adenosine, on the BPS, which initiates a nucleophilic attack at the intronic 5' splice site, thus starting the first of two transesterification reactions that mediate splicing. The record is from Rfam by way of RNAcentral. Lineage: Eukaryota; Metazoa; Chordata; Aves; Tinamiformes; Tinamidae.
AUCGCUUCUCGGCCUUUUGGCUAAGAUCAAGUGUAGUAUCUGUUCUUAUAAGUUUAAUAAAAUAUUAACUGAUAUUUUCCUGGUAAAUGGUCAUAUUGCCUGUGAAAUACUU